RNAcentral lists this ribosomal RNA (433 nucleotides) under uncultured bacterium. Its description in RNAcentral is "bacterial SSU rRNA". It matches the Rfam family "Bacterial small subunit ribosomal RNA", at positions 32 to 507 of the family's 1533-position model. The record is from RNAcentral.
AAUCAACGCUGGCGGCGUGCCUAACACAUGCAAGUCGAACGAAGGCUUCGGCCUUAGUGGCGCACGGGUGCGUAACGCGUGGGAAUCUGCCCUUGGGUUCGGAAUAACUCAGAGAAAUUUGAGCUAAUACCGGAUGAUGACGUAAGUCCAAAGAUUUAUCGCCCAAGGAUGAGCCCGCGUAAGAUUAGCUAGUUGGUGGGGUAAAGGCCUACCAAGGCGACGAUCUUUAGCUGGUCUGAGAGGAUGAUCAGCCACACUGGGACUGAGACACGGCCCAGACUCCUACGGGAGGCAGCAGUGGGGAAUAUUGGACAAUGGGCGAAAGCCUGAUCCAGCAAUGCCGCGUGAGUGAUGAAGGCCUUAGGGUUGUAAAGCUCUUUUACCAGGGAUGAUAAUGACAGUACCUGGAGAAUAAGCUCCGGCUAACUCCGUG